This 720-nucleotide ribosomal RNA is filed under the name Hylemonella gracilis. RNAcentral describes it as "bacterial SSU rRNA". It matches the Rfam family "Bacterial small subunit ribosomal RNA", at positions 30 to 752 of the family's 1533-position model. The record is from RNAcentral. Lineage: Bacteria; Pseudomonadati; Pseudomonadota; Betaproteobacteria; Burkholderiales; Comamonadaceae.
UGAACGCUGGCGGCAUGCCUUACACAUGCAAGUCGAACGGUAACAGGUUAAGCUGACGAGUGGCGAACGGGUGAGUAAUACAUCGGAACGUGCCCAGACGUGGGGGAUAGCUCGGCGAAAGCCGGAUUAAUACCGCAUGAGCUCUGAGGAGGAAAGCGGGGGACCGUAAGGCCUCGCGCGUUUGGAGCGGCCGAUGGCAGAUUAGGUAGUUGGUGGGGUAAAGGCUUACCAAGCCUACGAUCUGUAGCUGGUCUGAGAGGACGACCAGCCACACUGGGACUGAGACACGGCCCAGACUCCUACGGGAGGCAGCAGUGGGGAAUUUUGGACAAUGGGCGCAAGCCUGAUCCAGCAAUGCCGCGUGCAGGAUGAAGGCCUUCGGGUUGUAAACUGCUUUUGUACGGAACGAAAAGGCGCCUACUAAUACUGGGUGUUGAUGACGGUACCGUAAGAAUAAGCACCGGCUAACUACGUGCCAGCAGCCGCGGUAAUACGUAGGGUGCGAGCGUUAAUCGGAAUUACUGGGCGUAAAGCGUGCGCANGCGGUGUUGUAAGACAGUUGUGAAAUCCCCGGGCUCAACCUGGGAACUGCAUCUGUGACUGCAAUGCUGGAGUGCGGCAGAGGGGGAUGGAAUUCCGCGUGUAGCAGUGAAAUGCGUANAUAUGCGGAGGAACACCGAUGGCGAANGCAAUCCCCUGGGCCUGCNCUGACGCUCAUGC